UACGUAGGGGGCAAGCGUUGUCCGGAUUUAUUGGGCGUAAAGAGCUCGUAGGUGGUUCGGUAAGUCUGAUGUGAAAGCCCGGGGCUCACCCCCGGAAGUGCAUUGGAUACUGGCGGACUCGAGUCUCGGAGAGGAGGGUGGAAUUCCUGGUGUAGCGGUGAAAUGCGUAGAUAUCAGGAGGAACACCGGUGGCGAAGGCGGCCCUCUGGACGAUGACUGACGCUGAGACGCGAAAGCGUGGGGAGCAAACAGG
RNAcentral lists this ribosomal RNA (253 nucleotides) under uncultured bacterium. Its description in RNAcentral is "partial 16S ribosomal RNA". It matches the Rfam family "Bacterial small subunit ribosomal RNA", at positions 524 to 776 of the family's 1533-position model. The record is from RNAcentral.